Molecule: long non-coding RNA, 255 nt
Organism: Perognathus longimembris pacificus (Pacific pocket mouse)
Lineage: Eukaryota; Metazoa; Chordata; Mammalia; Rodentia; Heteromyidae
Exons: 2
Source: RefSeq, a predicted model, not a curated record
CAGAAGUGGCGCUGUGGCUCAAGUGGCAGAUGGUAGAGUGUUAGCCUUGAGCAAAAAGAAGCCAGGGACAGUGCUCAGGCCCUGAGUACAAGUCCCAGGACUGGCCAAAAAAAAAAAAAAAAAAAAAAGAAAGAAAGAAAAAGUAGCAAACAUACACAAAUAAUUCUGAAGUAAGGACAUUUUAAGGUAAAGUAGUAGAUGUAUUCAAGUGAUAUAAUGUAAGCAAUAGUCAAUUUUAUUGGUUCAGUACUUCCU